Spinacia oleracea (spinach) is the source of this 1589-nucleotide long non-coding RNA. RefSeq lists it as uncharacterized. The transcript has 4 exons. The record is from RefSeq and is a predicted model, not a curated record. Lineage: Eukaryota; Viridiplantae; Streptophyta; Magnoliopsida; Caryophyllales; Amaranthaceae.
UGAAAUUUUGGCAAUAAGGUCCAGUUGAAUCUUUGGGACAACAUUGAAAAUGAAUAUUUCUUUCCACCCUGCAACCGAUAGACAGAUUGAGAUUACUAACGGAAUUUAUGUUGAAAACCGGUGUUAUUGACUUUAAGGGUAAUUGGGAAGGCCACCUAGGUUCGAUUGAAUUUUCGUGCAUCAAUAGUUACCAUGCAAGCAUUACGAUGUCACAUGUUGAGGCACUGUAUGGAAAGAAUUGUAGAAGUCUUACUUGUUGGAAUGAGUUUAGUGAGAAUAUUGUAUUGAGGACAUAAUUCGUUGAGGAAGAAAUACCCAAAGUUAUUCCCUGAGAUGAGUUACGAGGGCGUAACUCGUUUUAUUUAAGAGGGGUAGAAUGCGAUAUAAAUUCGCGCUUCUUACCUAAUUUUAUGGUGUUUUUAUGCAUUUUUAUGCUUAUUUUAGCAAAUUAUACAUGUCGAUGCAAGUAAAUAGAUUCUCCGCGUAAGAAAAAGGUGUUCAUGAGUAAUUCAAGAAACUUUAAGUUGGCAAAAGAGUGUACAUAAAUGCCACAAGUACUUCUACAAUAAGAAUAAGUUCAAAAGUUUGGAAAGAUAUGUGAAUUUUCGUGUCAAGUUUCGGGACGAAACUUCUUUUAAGAGGGGUAGAUUGUAAUCCCCCGUAAUUUUAUAAAUCUUAUUAAUACAUUUUAACGUAUAGUUAAUUAUAUUUAAAUAGAAUUUACGAAUUUUAGAAAUAAAAAUGUAAUUAACGAAUAUUUAUUUUUAUACGUUUUAAAUAUUUCAACGAUUUAUGAAAUUAAAAUAAUUUUAGAAUUUCAUGUUGAAAAUAAAUCGAAUUACAAAACCGAUUGAAUUUAGAGAACGUUCCUAAUCGAUUUUGGAAUGAAAUCCUAAAACUAAGUUCCUAAUUCUAGCCCACUUUGGUAAAGCCCAUUGUGAUAAACCUAAACCCCCAUAAUCUCAUCUCACGUGAAACCAAAGAAACAACAAAAGAAAAAUCUCUCUCCUUCAUCCUUCACCCUUCACGUGAACCCUCAAACCCUCAAACCUUGCAGCCGCCAGCCACCAGCCACCGCACACCGCCUGCACCACCCUCGCCGUCGGCGUCUCCUCCUUCGUCCGCAACCACCACCCACCUACGAAACUGACCGCGACAGCCACCGUCCUGUGUCGUCGCCGACCAACCAGCACCAACUUCGCAAUCCUUUCCACACGCAAACAGUCCUCCCUUUGGCUUGCUCCUUGCUCACGGCACCACCACCAACGACCCGAGCAACCCUCGCUGCCACCAUCGACAGCCGCCACCGCCGCUGCCGCGCCAUCUCCGACCGCCGUCCAACCACUCUUCAUUCUUUCUUUUGGUGGAGAAUUCUCCGUAGGCGACUUUUGAAUUCUUAAAGUGGUCUCGCAUUUUGUUUACACAAGUCUCUAAGGAUCAAUAAGCGUUGCCCAUCUACAGGUUUGAAGAUGAUGCAUCAUUGGGAUCGGGAUUAGAGAGCUUGUAGUUCAUUUGAUUUUCUAAGUUGGAUUUGGUUUGUUUAAGUGGACUCUAAAACUUAUUGAAUUAGUAACAUUAACUUUGUUUUU